Molecule: long non-coding RNA, 433 nt
Organism: Poecile atricapillus (Black-capped chickadee)
Lineage: Eukaryota; Metazoa; Chordata; Aves; Passeriformes; Paridae
Exons: 3
Source: RefSeq, a predicted model, not a curated record
CAGGAUUUGGAAUUACUGCACAUGCUCCCGCUUUGCAGCAGCCAUGGCAGCCUCAGUGCUGGGAUGGCAGCCACAGCCUUGGCAGGCUGUCUGGACUGGACACAGCAGAUGCUGGUUCUGGAUAAAUACAGGUCCUGGACUAUUUCACUGGCUGCAGAAGAAUCCCUUUGCCCAUGACAGCCAAGCUGAUUUUCUGCCAUGCUGGCCACAGGCAAGGCUACCUCACCUGCCAUGUGCAACAGAAUAUUUACUAUCAGCUGCACUAAGGAGAAUUAUCAGCAGUGUUACUGAAUCACAUCAGCAGCUCGGAUGCAUCGAGCACAGAAAAUUACUGACAAUGCUCUGCUGAGCCGCCAGUGAAUCCCACUGUGCAAUCCUUGUGCGCGCACGUCCUGCCGGAGCCGCUGGAUUCCUCAGCACACCUUCCAGACCU